This 994-nucleotide ribosomal RNA is filed under the name uncultured Halobacteria archaeon. RNAcentral describes it as "bacterial SSU rRNA". It matches the Rfam family "Archaeal small subunit ribosomal RNA", at positions 340 to 1337 of the family's 1478-position model. The record is from RNAcentral. Lineage: Archaea; Methanobacteriati; Methanobacteriota; Halobacteria.
CGCGAAACCUUUACACUGCACGACAGUGAAUAGGGGGACUCCGAGUGCGAGGGCAUACAGUCCUCGCUUUUCUGUACCGUAAGGUGGUACAGGAACAAGUGCUGGGCAAGACCGGUGCCAGCCGCCGCGGUAAUACCGGCAGCACGAGUGAUGGCCGAUUUUAUUGGGCCUAAAGCGUCCGUAGCCGGCCGGACAAGUCCGUUGGGAAAUCGACGCGCCUAACGCGUCGGCGUCCAGCGGAAACUGUCCGGCUUGGGGCCGGAAGAUCCGAGGGGUACGUCCGGGGUAGGAGUGAAAUCCCGUAAUCCUGGACGGACCGCCGGUGGCGAAAGCGCCUCGGAAGGACGGACCCGACGGUGAGGGACGAAAGCCAGGGUCUCGAACCGGAUUAGAUACCCGGGUAGUCCUGGCCGUAAACGAUGCUCGCUAGGUGUGGCGCAGGCUACGAGCCUGCCUGUGCCGUAGGGAAGCCGUGAAGCGAGCCGCCUGGGAAGUACGUCUGCAAGGAUGAAACUUAAAGGAAUUGGCGGGGAGCACUACAACCGGAGGAGCUGCGGUUUAAUUGGACUCAACGCCGACAUCUCACCAGCACCGACAGUGUGCAGUGAAGGUCAGUUUGAUGAGCUUACUGGAGCCACUGAGAGGAGGUGCAUGGCCGCCGUCAGCUCGUACCGUGAGGCGUCCUGUUAAGUCAGGCAACGAGCGAGACCCGCACUCCUAGUUGCCAGCAACCCUUGCGGUGGUUGGGUACACUAGGAGGACUGCCGCUGCUAAAGCGGAGGAAGGAACGGGCAACGGUAGGUCAGUAUGCCCCGAAUGUGCUGGGCAACACGCGGGCUACAAUGGCCGGGACAAUGGGAAGCCAUCCCGAGAGGGAGCGCUAAUCCCCUAAACCCGGUCGUAGUUCGGAUUGAGGGCUGAAACUCGCCCUCAUGAAGCUGGAUUCGGUAGUAGUCGCGUGUCAGAAGCGCGCGGCGAAUACGUCCCUGCUCCU